UACAGAGGUCUCAAGCGUUGUUCGGAAUCACUGGGCGUAAAGGGUGCGUAGGCCGCGCGGUAAGUCAGAGGUGAAAUCCCGGAGCUCAACUUCGGAAUUGCCUCCGAUACUGCCGUGCUUGAGGACUGGAGAGGAGUCUGGAAUUCACAGUGGAGCAGUGAAAUGCGUAGAUAUUGUGAGGAACACUAGUGGCGAAGGCGAGACUCUGGACAGUUCCUGACGCUGAGGCACGAAGGCCAGGGGAGCAAACGGG
Molecule: ribosomal RNA, 253 nt
Filed under: uncultured bacterium
Lineage: Bacteria
Description: partial 16S ribosomal RNA
Rfam family: Bacterial small subunit ribosomal RNA
Source: RNAcentral